GCCCCAUCAAAUGUAUGCCACAAAAUAUGAAUGAUACACAUGCUUUCCUUUUUUACUACAUAUAAAUGUGCGUGUCUUUUUACCAUAGAAACCAUCAGAAAUAGCUAUUUACUACAUAUAAAUGGGAUUGAAUGCCUACCAUUGACAAUCGCUUGGGGAAAGCAAUUGGUAGCUUAUUGUAGGUCUAGUGCAAUGUGUUUUAAGGUGUAGCAGGGGAAGUUGCUUUGACUUCAGGUGGUGGAUUGAAGAAGCUAUCUUUAUUAACUGAUAACUAUGAAGAGAUUGCAAUGAAUAAAAUUCUAAGUUUGUAGUAAAUUUCAGAAGCAGAACUGAUGCAUGCCCAAAAUCAGCUAGGGUGGUAACUGACCGAACAUCAGGAUAUUUGAAGGGCUUUAGGUUUGUCACAUGCCCUAUCAUUGAAGAGAUGGAGCAAGGCAUAAAGGGAAUGGAUGGUCAGGUA
Magnolia sinica is the source of this 460-nucleotide long non-coding RNA. RefSeq lists it as uncharacterized. The record is from RefSeq and is a predicted model, not a curated record. The transcript has 3 exons. NCBI's taxonomy places the organism in Eukaryota, Viridiplantae, Streptophyta, Magnoliopsida, Magnoliales, Magnoliaceae.